CGAGAGGAGGACAAGUCACUGGGCGCGGGAAUGGAUCAAACACCGCCGUCGUCGCCGGGCGACACCCAUGGCCGUGGUGAGUGGCCCUCAUUGCCGACCCGAUCUCAUGCUUCUCUCUCUCUCUCCCUCCCUCCACCAUUCCCACCGCUCGCCUGCUGUUCUUCUCGCCGGAGAGGAAGCUACGGCUCUAUUACAAACCCUUGAUUCUCUUCCUUUCCUAUCCCUCCCUGGCCAUGUACUCCCGGAACCCUAGAUCCAGAUCCAAUGAGGUAUCUCUGAAUUAUGUGGUGGAUUGGGUGGUACAGAGUGUGAGAUGGAUCUUCAGAGAGCUCUCGGCCAGGAUCGCGUGGGAGAAGCUGGCCCGGUCGGGCGAUUUUGACAAAAAUCGACGUCCUUGAGUUCACCACUGAGUUCUUUUAUUGGCAAUGUACCUUCUCCCUUUUGGUGGCGUUCUGUUGAUGGUUAUGGUUCGCCUCCCCAACUUCAGAAACACUUGCAUUAUAAGCUUAAAACCCAUCUAAUUGAUGAACUAGCCCUCGCUGAAGUCCAGCAUAUCAUCAAGCCUGAAUGUCUCUGGAUCAAAUUCCAUAUCUAAGCUGCUGGUAGAAGAUCGAAUGCUUGAUGUAACAUCCAAUUGGUCCCAAGUAACCCCCAUGAAAUGCGCCACUGGAGCAGAACCUUCGAAGUCUGAGAAGUCAGGGAGCACCAGAAGUUCUGUUGAGCCACUGCGAGGUGAGUUAUUGCUUAGCACUUCUUCAUCGCACUCCAGCUUUAUUGGGGGGAGAAGUGGCGCAGAAGAAAGAGGAGCUUCUUGGUGAGUAUUUGCAGUGUCUCCUGAAUUGAAACUGAUAAUCCAAGGCGUCGCUAACUUGGUUGAAUCCACGCAUGUGUGUUCUCCCAUGUAGAUGAUGGUGAACAUGGAGGCAUCCUCUGUCUUCUGGACUUGUCGCGUGGCUUGGCAACCUCUGUCAAACUUGUGUGAGCAUCUGUAGUAGCUUCUGCAAAUCAGAUCGAAUCAUCUCAAAUUCCCUUGGACAAAUCAUGCAAUGCAGGUAUACAACCCAUCUACAUCGUACUAAGUGUUCUAAAUGUUUUUGCUCACUAUUAACUGGGAAAAAUCAUAUAAUCCGAUUUUAGUUCUCUUUUGGUCCUGGGCUGCAACUUAAUUUUGGUUUCGAUACAUCAUUUUCUUUGAAUUUCCUCAGACUUGGGCUUUUCUAUGAAACUGGAUAGAAUUUCUAUUUAGAUAAAGAGCUCCGUUGAAUUUUCAUUCUGAGCUGAUUAUCUCUAGCAUAAAACGUUCAGAUAAACAUGAGUGGAACUGAAUUGGUACCUUUGAUGUGUAGUACCGUAUAUGAUCUUCUGUCCAUACUUUCUCCAUGUGUAGCCAUCUUCGAUCUCCUUGGUAAUAAUUGUUCUGCAUGUGUAUGGAUGUGAUCUGCCAACAGCAGAUGACAUGAAACAAGUUGAAUUGAUUAAACAAGGCCAACGAAAAAGAAA
Molecule: long non-coding RNA, 1500 nt
Organism: Zingiber officinale
Lineage: Eukaryota; Viridiplantae; Streptophyta; Magnoliopsida; Zingiberales; Zingiberaceae
Exons: 3
Source: RefSeq, a predicted model, not a curated record